This 492-nucleotide ribosomal RNA is filed under the name uncultured bacterium. RNAcentral describes it as "partial 16S ribosomal RNA". It matches the Rfam family "Bacterial small subunit ribosomal RNA", at positions 29 to 507 of the family's 1533-position model. The record is from RNAcentral.
AGUGAACGCUGGCGGCAUGCCUAACACAUGCAAGUCGAACGGCAGCACAGUAAGCUUUUUCUUUUACGGGUGGCGAGUGGCGGACGGGUGAGGAAUACAUCGGAAUCUACUUUUUCGUGGGGGAUAACGUAGGGAAACUUACGCUAAUACCGCAUAUGACCUACGGGUUAAAUCAGGGGUUCUUCGGACCUUUCGUGUUUGAUUGAGCUGAUGUCGGAUUAGCUAGUUGGCGGGGUAAGGGCCCACCAAGGCGACGAUCCGUAGCUGGUCUGAGAGGAUGAUCAGCCACACUGGAACUGAGACACGGUCCAGACUCCUACGGGAGGCAGCAGUGGGGAAUAUUGGACAAUGGGCGCAAGCCUGAUCCAGCCAUACCGCGUGGGUGAAGAAGGCCUUCGGGUUGUAAAGCCCUUUUGUUGGGAAAGAAAAGCAGCAGGUUAAUACCCCGCUGUUCUGACGGUACCCAAAGAAUAAGCACCGGCUAACUACGUG